Molecule: ribosomal RNA, 519 nt
Filed under: uncultured eukaryote
Lineage: Eukaryota
Description: SSU rRNA
Rfam family: Eukaryotic small subunit ribosomal RNA
Source: RNAcentral
AGGGCACCACCAGGAGUGGAGCCUGCGGCUUAAUUUGACUCAACACGGGAAAUCUCACCAGGCCCGGACACUGGAAGGAUUGACAGAUUGAGAGCUCUUUCUCGAUUCGGUGGGUGGUGGUGCAUGGCCGUUCUUAGUUGGUGGAGUGAUUUGUCUGGUUAAUUCCGAUAACGAACGAGACUCUGUCCUGCUAAAUAGUUCCAGCGUCCUUAGUGCGCUGGAAAUUCUUCUUAGAGGGACUGGCGGCGUCUAGCCGCACGAGAUUGAGCAAUAACAGGUCUGCGAUGCCCUUAGAUGUUCUGGGCCGCACGCGCGCUACACUGAAGGGAUCAGCGUGUCUUCCCUCUCCGAGAGGAGCGGGUAACCCGCUGAACCCCCUUCGUGGUAGGGAUUGGGCUUGCAAUUAUUCCCCAUGAACCAGGAAUUCCCAGUAAGCGCAAGUCAUAAGCUUGCGUUGAUUACGUCCCUGCCCUUUGUACACACCGCCCGUCGCUACUACCAAUUGAACGUUUUAGUGAG